CGCCUUCUGAAAAAAUAUAGAAGGUCCAGCCUGCCCAGUGACAAAGUUAAACGGCCGCGGUACCCUAACCGUGCGAAGGUAGCGCAAUCACUUGUUCUUUAAAUGAGGACUAGUAUGAACGGCAUCACGAGGAUUACACUGUCUCCCCCCUUUAAUCAGUGAAACUGAUCCCCCCGUGAAGAAGCGGGGAUAAACAUAUAAGACGAGAAGACCCUAUGGAGCUUUAAACUAACACCAUCUGUCUAUAAAUACUUCAUAAUAAACAGACAAAGCCUGUGUGCUAGUUUUUGGUUGGGGUGACCGCGGAGCAAAAUAAAACCUCCACGAUGAAAAGACUUUCCCUCUUAAUCCAAGAGCAACACCUCAAAGAAUUGGCAAGCCAACACAACUGAUCCAAACAAUACUUUGAUCAACGAACCAAGUUACCCUAGGGAUAACAGCGCAAUCCAUUUCAAGAGCUCCUAUCGACAAAUGGGUUUACGACCUCGAUGUUGGAUCAGGGUAUCCCAGUGGUGCAGCCGCUACUAAAGGUUCGUUUGUUCAACGAUUAAAACCCU
This 557-nucleotide ribosomal RNA is filed under the name Chiasmocleis hudsoni (Hudson's humming frog). Its description in RNAcentral is "Syncope hudsoni (Hudson's humming frog) partial 16S ribosomal RNA". It matches the Rfam family "Bacterial large subunit ribosomal RNA", at positions 1819 to 2597 of the family's 2925-position model. Lineage: Eukaryota; Metazoa; Chordata; Amphibia; Anura; Microhylidae. The record is from RNAcentral.